GCCAGUGUGGUGUAGUGGUUUGAACAUUGGACUACAACUCUGGAGACCAAGGUUCAAAUUCCUGUUCAUCCA
Phrynosoma platyrhinos (Desert horned lizard) is the source of this 72-nucleotide non-coding RNA. NCBI's taxonomy places the organism in Eukaryota, Metazoa, Chordata, Lepidosauria, Squamata, Phrynosomatidae. The record is from the annotation of a GenBank genome assembly.